AACAAAUGUUCAUUCCUGAAUUACUUCAGAUUGUCCCAUUUAUUCUCUGCUCCAGGGAGCCCUGCAGGAUUGCUUGGAAAGAGCACCCUGAAGUUCUCCUCUACAGUGCUCUAUUGUCAGAAGACAUAUUUUAAUCAAAAGGCUAUUACACAGCAGGAGCAGUGGAGCAGAGGGGAAUCCUGGCAACGGAAUCCAUCUCCUGUAAAGCUAACGGACAAGAGCCUUGCAGUCUCCAGUGGACUGGGUCAGCUUUACUCAAGUCAAAUCACUGCCUUCUGCAUUCUCCCUGGCCUCAGUGAGUGAGCACGUCACCUCAUCUAGAAGCAAUACCAACUGAUGGACCAACUGAACUUCAGGCCGUAGGAACAAAAUGACUAUUGCAAUGUCCCAGGGGAAGAGUCAGUGCCGCAUUUCAUUUCAAUUGAUAUGGGCAAUGCCGACACUGGCUAGUUAUCAAACAAGUCAGACACACCUGUUGCUUCCACAAAUGCCAGUGUUCUGUUUCGUGUUUGGUCACGAUUCCCGAGUGGCCUUCUUGAGUGAAGGUGGUCAUCUGAGGUCACACAGAGACUGGACCAGAUAAGAUUCCCAGGUCUUCUCUGAAGGACAUUGCAACCAUCUUGCUUUCUUUAGAACUGUAUUGGAAAUUUGUGGACACCAGAAUGAUGCCAGCUUUUUAUUCCAGAUAUAUUUAAUGAUUUGAAUUAAAACUUUCCAGUUGGCAUGACAGGAUUGCCCAAGGUUCAUGAUACUAGCCCAGUAACUUAGUUAUUAACUAAUUUACUACUAUUUCACAUGUGUAAUUUUAGGAUUUUUGGUAAAAGGAAUUUAUAGAAAUUCACUUAUGUUGGGUGUUCUAAAAUUCAAUUGUAACCUCAAGUGUACUCCAAAGCUUUGUUUAUGGAUGCACUUGAAAUUGACUUUCAAUUUGGGCAUAUCCUGACUGAUUGGCUCCAUUAGCAGUCUGUAGAAGCUGACUGAAAGGCAUUACCAAAACUGAUGCACUUGGACUAUUUCCUAGUUGAAUGAUCUUUAUCAUUAAGGAUAUCUUCUUAGAAAUCACAGAUCUCCUUUAACAGUUUAAUGUAGUGCUGAUCUGAAGCAAUGCCUAUUAAAACAUGUACUUACCUCUUUAUCUGUAUUAUUUACACAAACUCAGAUUUCUAUUUAAGAAUUUUAAGUGCUAUACAUCAUAAUCAACCAUAACCACCAACAAUCAGAUCACAAGGGGAAUGUUGUUCAUCUAUUAAAAUAAAACACUUGGGUAUUUGUACAAGAUUGUUAGCACCUGCGCACUUCACUAAGUUCCUUUCAUGACAAAUUCCAGUGUUUACAUUUAUAAUGGGCAAUUCAUGAGUGAACUUAUUAGAUGGUAAUUGCACCCUUUCACCUGUUGAUGUGCUGCAGAACAACAACUGGGAAAAUGCGCAAUGUAAUGAAUUUACAUUAGCAAUAUUAAAGUGUAGACAUACAAAUCAAUUAUGGAAACUUUUUAAUAAAGAACAGCAAAUGUCUGACUUUAAAAUGAGGACUAAUUAAAAAUGUGACACUGUUAAUUUUUCCCAUCUUCUAGUUUUCCUUCACCUGAA
Long non-coding RNA from Hypanus sabinus (Atlantic stingray), 1589 nucleotides. RefSeq lists it as uncharacterized. The transcript is spliced from 3 exons. The record is from RefSeq and is a predicted model, not a curated record. NCBI's taxonomy places the organism in Eukaryota, Metazoa, Chordata, Chondrichthyes, Myliobatiformes, Dasyatidae.